GACAGAGGGUGCAAACGUUGUUCGGAAUUACUGGGCGUAAAGCGCGUGUAGGCUGCUCAGAAAGUCGGAUGUGAAAGCCCUGGGCUUAACCCAGGAAGUGCAUUCGAAACUUCUGAGCUUGAGUUCUGGAGAGGAAGGCGGAAUUCUCGGUGUAGAGGUGAAAUUCGUAGAUAUCGAGAGGAACACCGGUGGCGAAGGCGGCCUUCUGGACAGUGACUGACGCUGAGACGCGAAAGCGUGGGGAGCAAACAGG
Molecule: ribosomal RNA, 253 nt
Filed under: uncultured bacterium
Lineage: Bacteria
Description: partial 16S ribosomal RNA
Rfam family: Bacterial small subunit ribosomal RNA
Source: RNAcentral